This is a non-coding RNA of Apaloderma vittatum (bar-tailed trogon), 74 nucleotides long. The record is from Rfam. NCBI's taxonomy places the organism in Eukaryota, Metazoa, Chordata, Aves, Trogoniformes, Trogonidae.
GGCCGGUUAGCUCAGUCGGUUAGAGCGUGGUGCUGAUGACACCAAGGUCACGAGUUCAAUCCCCGCUCCGUCCC